RNAcentral lists this ribosomal RNA (1044 nucleotides) under Teleopsis dalmanni. RNAcentral's name for it is "eukaryotic LSU rRNA". It matches the Rfam family "Eukaryotic large subunit ribosomal RNA", at positions 943 to 1853 of the family's 3401-position model. Lineage: Eukaryota; Metazoa; Arthropoda; Insecta; Diptera; Diopsidae. The record is from RNAcentral.
UCUAGUAGCUGGUUCCCUCCGAAGUUUCCGAAGUUUAAAAAUAAUAUAAAAUAAUCUUAUCUGGUAAAGCGAAUGAUUAGAGGCCUUAGGGUCGAAACGAUCUUAACCUAUUCUCAAACUUUAAAUGGGUAAGAACCUUAACUUUCUUGAUAUGAAGAUUGAGGUUAUGAUAUAAUGUGCCCAGUGGGCCACUUUUGGUAAGCAGAACUGGCGCUGUGGGAUGAACCAAACGUAAUGUUACGGUGCCCAAAUUUACAACUCAUGCAGAUACCAUGAAAGGCGUUGGUUGCUUAAAACAGCAGGACGGUGGACGUGGAAGUCGUAAUCCGCUAAGGAGUGUGUAACAACUCACCUGCCGAAGCAACUAGCCCUUAAAAUGGAUGGCGCCUAAGUUGUAUACCUAUACAUUACCGCUAAAAUAGAUGAUUUAUAAUUUUUAAUUAUAAAUUUUGAAAUUUUAGUGAGUAGGAGGGUACAAUGGUAUGCAUAGAAGUGUUUGGCGUAAGCCUGCAUGGAGCUGCCAUUGGUACAGAUCUUGGUGGUAGUAGCAAAUAAUCGAAUGAGACCUUGGAGGACUGAAGUGGAGAAGGGUUUCGUGUGAACAGUGGUUGAUCACGAGUUAGUCGGUCCUAAGUUUAAGGCGAAAGCUGAAAAUUUUCAAGUUAUAAUAUACAAAAAAUAUAUAUAAUAUUAUAUAUAUACAAAUAUAAUUAAUAAAAUAUUUUUAUUAUUUAAACACUUGAAUUAUUUUGAACGAAAGGGAAUACGGUUCCAAUUCCGUAACCUGUUGAGUAUACGUUUGUUAUUAAAAAUGGGCCUUGUGCUCAUCCUGGCAACAGGAACGACCAUAAAGAAGCCAUCGAGAGAUAUCGGAAGAGUCUUCUUUUCUGUUUUAUAAUCGUAUUACCAUGGAAGUCUUUCGAAGAGAGAUAUGGUAAAUGGAUUAGAAGAGCAUGACAUUUACUGUUGUGUCGAUAUUUUCUCCUUGGACCUUGAAAAUUUAUGGUGGGGUUACGCAAACUUCUCAACAGGCCGUACCGAUAU